Erinaceus europaeus (western European hedgehog) is the source of this 772-nucleotide long non-coding RNA. RefSeq lists it as uncharacterized. The record is from RefSeq and is a predicted model, not a curated record. The transcript is spliced from 2 exons. NCBI's taxonomy places the organism in Eukaryota, Metazoa, Chordata, Mammalia, Eulipotyphla, Erinaceidae.
AGAAGAAAAGCACGCAAAUUGGGGUAUGGGUUUAUGUGCGACAAACAAGGCUGUGCUUCAUUCCUGCGGCAUAGGGCUAAGCCAUAAAUCUCGACCGCUCUUCAGAGGCCUAAGGGCACACCGCAGAACAGUUUUCCCCCUCAGCACUGGCUUUUGGCAUUUACGUGGUUCCAACGACCUAAACUAACUUAAAAAAAAAAAAUGCACAUAGAGGUGGAGGAAGAAUUCUUUGCAGACUGGAGGAGCUGGCGAUGAACUUUAGAAGGUGUUCCCUGGCAUCCUAAAUUUACUUCCGCCUCUAUCCUGCAGUGAAGUCACAAUACAUCUGUGACAGAAUAACUCCCAUGGCAACAGCCUGACAUCAUAAACACCAGAUUAAGACUUGGCUGCACAGCCAAAGGAGAUGAUGGGCCGGGAAGAAAGAGGCUGUAAUUCAAACAAAUCUCUACUGUAAUAGCUAUGGGAAUACUAAACAUUACUGGCCAAUUUGGUUCUAUUCCCUGCACGAGACGGGUAACCAAUGGGCGAUACACAAUAUCCCAAGAUGGAUCCUGGUGCCUCGAGCCAACAUGCUAAGGGCGGGAAGCAGACAAACACUAAACAUUACUGGCUCCUUCAUUGAUCCAACCGCAAAGGAGCCAUAGAGCAAGAGGAGGGCUGUGCCCUCUCCCACACUGUGCGUGGAGAAGAAUGGCUCUGCUAAGCAGGAGGCUGAAGUGGCUACCUGAGUAGUCCAGGAGGGGGCGCUGAGAAUAAACUGUUGGACUCUAAA